CUACGGGAGGCAGCAGUUGGGAAUCUUGCACAAUGGGGGAAACCCUGAUGCAGCGACGCCGCGUGGAGGAUGACGGAUUUAGGUCUGUAAACUCCUUUUGCAGGGAAAGACUUAGGACGGUACCCUGAGAAUAAGGACCGGCUAACUACGUGCCAGCAGCCGCGGUAAGACGUAGGGUCCGAGCGUUGUCCGGAUUUACUGGGCGUAAAGAGCGCGUAGGCGGUCUGUUAAGUGUGAAGUGAAAUCUCCAGGGCUCAACCCGGAAACUGCUUUACAUACUGGCAGACUUGAGGAAUGCAGAGGUGAAUAGAAUUCCUGGUGUAGCGGUGAAAUGCGUAGAUAUCAGGAGGAAUACCCAUGGCGAAGGCAGUUCACUGGGCAUUAUCUGACGCUGAGGCGCGAAAGCGUGGGUAGCAAACAGGAUUAGAAACCCCUGUAGUCC
RNAcentral lists this ribosomal RNA (442 nucleotides) under uncultured bacterium. Its description in RNAcentral is "bacterial SSU rRNA". It matches the Rfam family "Bacterial small subunit ribosomal RNA", at positions 339 to 796 of the family's 1533-position model. The record is from RNAcentral.